This is a long non-coding RNA of Lutra lutra (Eurasian river otter), 568 nucleotides long. RefSeq lists it as uncharacterized. The record is from RefSeq and is a predicted model, not a curated record. Lineage: Eukaryota; Metazoa; Chordata; Mammalia; Carnivora; Mustelidae. The transcript has 3 exons.
GAGGUGGUAAAGGGAGAGGCCCAUUAGUUUCAUUUUUGCUGCUGUUCUGGAAUUUACUGACUCCCUGGGUUCCGUAGAAUCAGCCUGCUGUCUUCACCCCAGCAUCACUGAUGGUGACGCGACACAGCCUUCAUGUCGACCCCUUUGCUGGGCAGGACUGGCUCCCAGGCAUGGCCUCAGCGAACUCGUGGUCUCUGACCAGCAUUUCCCCACCAUGUGCUGUGCAGAGAUGGUAGCCCCACUUUCCUGCGGGUAAACUGAGACCCGGAAGCCCCAAGAAUCAAAUGAGGCAACGCGCAGAAAACAUUCACGACAUCCCUGGUACAUUUCAAAUCUGGCCAUAAGGAGCUGCCAACACUCAACCAGUCUGGGCCCACAGAAGGGGAAAUCAUCUCGCUCAAACUGAACCGUAAACAUCCAGACCCUUGCUCUAGAUUAAAAGAGACUAAAGAAGAAGGAAAACAGUGUAAAGAGCAAAACAACUCAAGGCAAUGGGGAGCUUUAAUGCGAUCCUUGUUUGGGAGAGAAGACAGACAGAAAAAGACAUUCUUGGGACAAUGGAGGAAAA